CACAAGCAGCGGAGCGUGUGGUUUAAUUCGAUGCUACACGAAGAACCUUACCAGGGUUUGACAUGCAAGUGGUAGGAAACUGAAAAGGGACCGACCUUCGGGAGCUUGCACAGGUGCUGCAUGGCUGUCGUCAGCUCGUGUCGUGAGAUGUUCGGUUAAGUCCCGCAACGAGCGCAACCCUUGUCAUUAGUUGCUACAUUCAGUUGGGCACUCUAAUGAGACUGCCGGUGACAAACCGGAGGAAGGUGGGGAUGACGUCAAGUCCUCAUGGCCCUUAUAGGUGGGGCUACACACGUCAUACAAUGGCCGGUACAGAGGGUAGCCAACCCGCGAGGGGAAGCCAAUCCCACAAAGCCGGUCGUAGUCCGGAUCGCAGUCUGCAACUCGACUGCGUGAAGUCGGAAUCGCUAGUAAUCGCGGAUCAGCAUGUCGCGGUGAAUACGUUCCCGGGUCUU
Molecule: ribosomal RNA, 455 nt
Filed under: uncultured Longilinea sp.
Lineage: Bacteria; Bacillati; Chloroflexota; Anaerolineae; Anaerolineales; Anaerolineaceae
Description: bacterial SSU rRNA
Rfam family: Bacterial small subunit ribosomal RNA
Source: RNAcentral